Molecule: ribosomal RNA, 213 nt
Filed under: uncultured Lactobacillus sp.
Lineage: Bacteria; Bacillati; Bacillota; Bacilli; Lactobacillales; Lactobacillaceae
Description: partial 16S ribosomal RNA
Rfam family: Bacterial small subunit ribosomal RNA
Source: RNAcentral
CCUGGAAACAGAUGCUAAUACCGGAUAACAACAGAUGAUGCCUAUCAACUGUUUAAAAGAUGGUUCUGCUAUCACUCUUGGAUGGACCUGCGGUGCAUUAGCUAGUUGGUAGGGUAACGGCCUACCAAGGCGAUGAUGCAUAGCCGAGUUGAGAGACUGAUCGGCCACAUUGGGACUGAGACACGGCCCAAACUCCUACGGGAGGCAGCAGAA